CUUGGUCAUUUAGAGGAAGUAAAAGUCGAACAAGGUCUCCGUUGGUGAACCAGCGGAG
This 58-nucleotide ribosomal RNA is filed under the name Sirococcus conigenus. RNAcentral's name for it is "partial 18S ribosomal RNA". The record is from RNAcentral. Lineage: Eukaryota; Fungi; Ascomycota; Sordariomycetes; Diaporthales.